CCUACGGGGGGCAGCAGUGGGGAAUAUUGGACAAUGGGCGAAAGCCUGAUCCAGCCAUGCCGCGUGUGUGAAGAAGGCCUUCGGGUUGUAAAGCACUUUCAGUGGGGAAGAAAGCCUUGGGGCUAAUACCCUCGAGGAAGGACAUCACCCACAGAAGAAGCACCGGCUAACUCCGUGCCAGCAGCCGCGGUAAUACGGAGGGUGCGAGCGUUAAUCGGAAUUACUGGGCGUAAAGCGCGCGUAGGCGGUCUGAUAAGCCGGUUGUGAAAGCCCCGGGCUCAACCUGGGAACGGCAUCCGGAACUGUCAGGCUAGAGUGCAGGAGAGGAAGGUAGAAUUCCCGGUGUAGCAGUGAAAUGCGUAGAGAUCGGGAGGAAUACCAGUGGCGAAGGCGGCCUUCUGGACUGACACUGACGCUGAGGUGCGAAAGCGUGGGUAGCAAACAGGACUAGAUACCCCGGUAGUC
RNAcentral lists this ribosomal RNA (465 nucleotides) under Vreelandella stevensii. RNAcentral's name for it is "partial 16S ribosomal RNA". It matches the Rfam family "Bacterial small subunit ribosomal RNA", at positions 338 to 795 of the family's 1533-position model. The record is from RNAcentral. Lineage: Bacteria; Pseudomonadati; Pseudomonadota; Gammaproteobacteria; Oceanospirillales; Halomonadaceae.